Molecule: RNA transcript, 1715 nt
Organism: Daucus carota subsp. sativus
Lineage: Eukaryota; Viridiplantae; Streptophyta; Magnoliopsida; Apiales; Apiaceae
Exons: 14
Source: RefSeq, a predicted model, not a curated record
AUAGGAUGAGACACGGGAGAACUCAAAUAUUCAAAAAAACAAAACAAAAUUUAUGUGCUCUCUACAAUUCAAUUCAGUAAGAUGUUUCUAUUUACUAUCUUUGAUCUCAGCAGAUGUAUUAUAGCUUGCAGGAAGGUCACAGAUUUUACUUCUUGGAUUAUAUCAGUUCCUUGAUUUUGAAUGUAUUUACCAUGGCUUCUACCAGAUCAAUGUCCGGAACAACUAAGAAACCAGAUACUAAGAUUGCUGUGAAUGAUAAACAGGAAGCCUCUACGACAGCAAGGAACAAAGCAAAGUUCAGAAGAAUUAAAUAAAUUGCCAAGUCCGGAACAACUAAAAAAGUGGCUCAUAAGGGAUGCACAACAGCUGUCUGGUCAUGAUUGACGAUGCUUAUUGCUUUUUCAUGAAGGACGCCAAGGCAAAAUAUUAUGAGAAGAAUGCAAAAUAUUAUGAGAAGCAUCCACGAGGACGAAUAAUGCCAGAGGAGCUCCGAGGUGUUAUCAUGCAGAAAUGGAGGGAUAUGAGUGAUGCGGACAAAGCUCCGUAUGUUGAAUGUGCUGAGGAAUUGAGGGCUCAAGGACUUACCUAUCUGACUGCUGUGAAUGACGAACAGGAAGUCUAUUACAAAGCAAAGUUCGGAACAACUAAAAAAAUUGCCAAGUCCGGAAAAACUAAAAAAGUGGCUGAUAAGGUAUGCACAACAGCUGUCUGGUCAGUGAUUGAUGAUGCUUAUUGCCUUUUCAUGAAGGACUCUAAGGCAAAAUAUUGUGAGAAGCAGUCACAACGCGAAAUAAUGUCAGAGGAUCUCGGAGAAGCUAUCAUGCAGGAAUGGAUGGAUAUGAGUGAUGCGGACAAAGCUCCGUAUGUUGAACGUGCUGAGGAAUUGAGGGCUCAAGGACUUACCUAUCUGAUUUAGAAGUACUGCUUGUUGUCACUGAUUUAAAAGUGCAGGAAAGGAUGAGAGAGAAACGAAUGUGCAAGACAGGAUAUCAUAGUUAUCUGCUUUCCUAAAAAAAACUCAACCAAAGAUUCUCAGUUCCUCGUCACGUGAGAAUGCAGUUCUUGUUGCUACAAUUCUAUGGGGAAUAUGGAAUAUGCGUAAUAAGAAAGUGUGGGAGAACAACUGUGUCACACCGAGUUUAGCGAUGGAUUGGAGUAAGAAGCAGGUUAGUGAGUGGAGAGAAGCGCAAAGGAAGAGAUGUGGCUCUCAGACAGUAGCUCAUGAACGGGAUGUGACCGCUGAUUUGAAAUGGGUUUUCAGCUGAGGGUGAGUUAAAGCUGAACGUAGACGCAUCGGUCAUGGAGGGCUCUACAUCUUUCUCUAUUGGGAUGGUUCUCAGAAAUCACAACGGGCAAUUUGUGGAAGGCAGAAACUUCAGAGGUGCUGGGCAUGCAACUGUACUUGAGGCUGAAACUCGAGGACUGGUUGAAAUUUUGUACUGGGCUAGAAAUAUACCGGGGAAGAAAGUCACUGUUGAGAGUGACUCAUUGCUCGCUGUUAAUGCCAUCCGCAGGAAGGUGAGGUAUCAUCUGGAGGUUGGUUACAAUAUUGAGCGUUGCCAGGCUAUUCUUGAGGACAACAGGAACAUCUCUCUGUUUUAUUAGAAGGCAAGCGAACAAGGCGGUCCAUCUGAUGGCUCGUGUGCCUUGUUCUCUAGAUUGCUUCAAUAUUUUUUGGUCUCCUCCUAGCACUUAGUUGGAGACUAUUGAGUUGG